This is a long non-coding RNA of Mobula hypostoma (lesser devil ray), 616 nucleotides long. RefSeq lists it as uncharacterized. The transcript has 3 exons. The record is from RefSeq and is a predicted model, not a curated record. NCBI's taxonomy places the organism in Eukaryota, Metazoa, Chordata, Chondrichthyes, Myliobatiformes, Myliobatidae.
AAAAAAUACGGAUUUUGACCAGAGGUUCCACAGUUGAUGGGAGAUUCAGUAAGUAAAAGAUGCUGCCUGGCCUGCUGAGUUCCUCCAGCACUUUGUGUGUGCUGAGUAGAAUAGCCUGUUUGAGGAAGAGUAAUGAAAGAGGAGAGAAUCCAAAUAGAAGUGGACCAGCACACCAUGAAUACACAAAAUAGAAAACGUUCAGCAAGUUCACAAAAUACUAAAUCUCAGAAGAUAAGAGACUGCAUAAGAAGUGGAACUAAGUGUCUUAUUAAACGCAGGAGCUUAUGUUGGACUUGACUUUUUCCGUUUUAACCGAGAAAGCUGAAAAAAGGGUCAAACUAUUUUUGAAUUUUUAUCUCAGCCAUAAACAUCCUUGCUUGCAAUAAUUAUCAACCAGGCAGAUUUUCUUGGCUGAACUGCAAAUGAUUCGGCCCACUGCUCUGACUCAGUCCCCACCCCUACGUUUAAGUUUAUGUGGAUGCCAGUUCAUACUGUCUUAGGACUUUCAAUCUCAGAGUCAGGUGACAGGGCACAAUUACAUCCCACACAACCUAUCACAGAUGCUUGUUUUCUGAAUAUUCUGGCAGCCUUUGACAGAGCAAUGUUCCGUUGCCAG